GAUGAACUCUAGCUACAGGCUUAACACAUGCAAGUCGAGGGGCAGCAUGGUCUUAUCUUGCUAAGGCCGAUGGCGACCGGCGCACGGGUGAGUAACGCGUAUCCAACCUGCCUUACACUCUUGGACAGCCUUCUGAAAGGGAGAUUAAUACAAGAUGUUAUCAUGAGUAAGCAUUUUCGCAUGAUUAAAGGUUUACCGGUGUAAGAUGGGGAUGCGUUCCAUUAGAUAGUAGGCGGGGGUAACGGCCCACCUAGUCUUCGAUGGAUAGGGGUUCUGAGAGGAAGGUCCCCCACAUUGGAACUGAGACACGGUCCAAACUCCUACGGGAGGCAGCAGUGAGGAAUAUUGGUCAAUGGACGAGAGUCUGAACCAGCCAAGUAGCGUGAAGGAUGAAGGUUCUAUGGAUUGUAAACUUCUUUUAUACGGGAAUAAACGAAUCCACGCGUGGAUUUUUGCAUGUACCGUAUGAAUAAGGAUCGGCUAACUCCGUGCCAGCAGCCGCGGUAAUACGGAGGAUCCGAGCGUUAUCCGGAUUUAUUGGGUUUAAAGGGAGCGUAGAUGGGUUGUUAAGUCAGUUGUGAAAGUUUGCGGCUCAACCGUAAAAUUGCAAUUGAUACUGGCAGUCUUGAGUACAGUUGAGGUAGGCGGAAUUCGUGGUGUAGCGGUGAAAUGCUUAGAUAUCACGAAGAACUCCGAUUGCGAAGGCAGCUUACUAACCUGUAACUGACAUUGAUGCUCGAAAGUGUGGGUAUCAAACAGGAUUAGAUACCCUGGUAGUCCACACGGUAAACGAUGAAUACUCGCUGUAGGCGAUAUACAGUCUGCGGGCCAAGCGAAAGCAUUAAGUAUUCCACCUGGGGAGUACGCCGGCAACGGUGAAACUCAAAGGAAUUGACGGGGGCCCGCACAAGCGGAGGAACAUGUGGUUUAAUUCGAUGAUACGCGAGGAACCUUACCCGGGCUUAAAUUGCAACCGAAUAUGGCGGAAACGCUAUAGCUAGCAAUAGCGGUUGUGAAGGUGCUGCAUGGUUGUCGUCAGCUCGUGCCGUGAGGUGUCGGCUUAAGUGCCAUAACGAGCGCAACCCUUGCCGAUAGUUACUAACAGGUCAUGCUGAGGACUCUGUCGGGACUGCCAUCGUAAGAUGUGAGGAAGGUGGGGAUGACGUCAAAUCAGCACGGCCCUUACGUCCGGGGCUACACACGUGUUACAAUGGGGGGUACAGAGGGCUGCUACCACGCAAGUGGAUGCCAAUCCCAAAAACCUCUCUCAGUUCGGAUUGAAGUCUGCAACCCGACUUCAUGAAGCUGGAUUCGCUAGUAAUCGCGCAUCAGCCACGGCGCGGUGAAUACGUUCCCGGGCCUUGCACA
This 1368-nucleotide ribosomal RNA is filed under the name uncultured bacterium. RNAcentral describes it as "bacterial SSU rRNA". It matches the Rfam family "Bacterial small subunit ribosomal RNA", at positions 28 to 1387 of the family's 1533-position model. The record is from RNAcentral.